This is a non-coding RNA of Oncorhynchus mykiss (rainbow trout), 973 nucleotides long. NCBI's taxonomy places the organism in Eukaryota, Metazoa, Chordata, Actinopteri, Salmoniformes, Salmonidae. The record is from RefSeq and is a predicted model, not a curated record.
GAAGUUAUAAUCACUAAGGGGUCUAGGUGAUGAAGCUAUAUUCACUAAGGGGUCUAGGUGAUGAAGUUAUAAUCACUAAGGGUGAUGAAGUUAUAAUCACUAAGGGGUCUAGGUGAUGAAGCUAUAAUCACUAAGGGGUCUAGGUGAUGAAGUUAUAAUCACUAAGGGGUCUAGGUGAUGAAGCUAUAAUCACUAAGGGGUCUAGGUGAUGAAGCUAUAAUCACUAAGGGGUCUAGGUGAUGAAGUUAUAAUCACUAAGGGGUCUAGGUGAUGAAGUUAUAAUCACUAAGGGGUCUAGGUGAUGAAGUUAUAAUCACUAAGGGGUCUAGGUGAUGAAGUUAUAAUCACUAAGGGGUCUAGGUGAUGAAGCUAUAAUCACUAAGGGGUCUAGGUGAUGAAGUUAUAAUCACUAAGGGGUCUAGGUGAUGAAGUUAUAAUCACUAAGGGGUCUAGGUGAUGAAGUUAUAAUCACUAAGGGGUCUAGGUGAUGAAGCUAUAAUCACUAAGGGGUCUAGGUGAUGAAGUUAUAAUCACUAAGGGGUCUAGGUGAUGAAGUUAUAAUCACUAAGGGGUCUAGGUGAUGAAGUUAUAAUCACUAAGGGGUCUAGGUGAUGAAGUUAUAAUCACUAAGGGGUCUAGGUGAUGAAGCUAUAAUCACUAAGGGGUCUAGGUGAUGAAGUUAUAAUCACUAAGGGGUCUAGGUGAUGAAGCUAUAAUCACUAAGGGGUCUAGGUGAUGAAGUUAUAAUCACUAAGGGGUCUAGGUCAUGAAGCUAUAAUCACUAAGGGGUCUAGGUGAUGAAGUUAUAAUCACUAAGGGGUCUAGGUGAUGAAGUUAUAAUCACUAAGGGGUCUAGGUGAUGAAGUUAUAAUCACUAAGGGGUCUAGGUGAUGAAGUUAUAAUCACUAAGGGGUCUAGGUGAUGAAGUUAUAAUCACUAAGGGGUCUAGGUGAUGAAGUUAUAAUCACUAAGG